This 208-nucleotide ribosomal RNA is filed under the name uncultured Pseudomonadota bacterium. RNAcentral's name for it is "uncultured proteobacterium partial 16S ribosomal RNA". It matches the Rfam family "Bacterial small subunit ribosomal RNA", at positions 568 to 775 of the family's 1533-position model. Lineage: Bacteria; Pseudomonadati; Pseudomonadota. The record is from RNAcentral.
CGCGUAGGCGGUUCGGCAAGUCAGAUGUGAAAGCCCUGGGCUCAACCCGGGAAUUGCGUUUGAGACUGCUGAGCUUGAAUUCGGGAGAGGUUGGUAGAAUUCCCAGUGUAGAGGUGAAAUUCGUAGAUAUUGGGAAGAAUACCCGUGGCGAAGGCGGCCAACUGGACCGACAUUGACGCUGAGGCGCGAAAGCGUGGGGAGCAAACAG